AGACAGAGGAAAAAGGAGUUUUUCUCCAGCAGGUGGAAGCUGAACACGGGCCUUGAAUUCCUUCUGUGUCAGGGGACUGUCAGCUCAGACGUAGCACCCUACAGAAGCCCCUGCCUCAUCCCACUCGUCCCAGGAGCUGGAGGAUUUGGCUCUUGUGAGGGAAAAAGCAAGCCAAAGAAUUUCUUACCAACUCUCUUCAAGCAAGAAUUUUGCUUCUGUGAACGCUUCUGUGUUCCCCCAAUGCCGAGUCCUGUAGCCCUGCCCACGAGAAUGAGGUUCUCAUCCGAGAACCACGGGCAGCUUCUGGGUUCUAGAGACUCAAGUCACCCACGAUGCAUUUUUGCGGAGAUGGAAAAAUAACCAGGUCGUCCCAGAUCAGCAGGAACAUCGCCGCGAGACAAUUUAAAAGACGCUCACUCCUCCCUGACAGCAGCAGCAGCAGCUGCAUUCAGCACAGACCAGCCCAAGCAAGACCAUCAACAGAUGAAGCAGUCAUGGAGU
Molecule: long non-coding RNA, 501 nt
Organism: Balaenoptera ricei (Rice's whale)
Lineage: Eukaryota; Metazoa; Chordata; Mammalia; Artiodactyla; Balaenopteridae
Exons: 3
Source: RefSeq, a predicted model, not a curated record